RNAcentral lists this ribosomal RNA (496 nucleotides) under uncultured bacterium. Its description in RNAcentral is "partial 16S ribosomal RNA". It matches the Rfam family "Bacterial small subunit ribosomal RNA", at positions 28 to 506 of the family's 1533-position model. The record is from RNAcentral.
GAUGAACGCUGGCGGCGUGCCUAAUACAUGCAAGUCGAGCGAACAGACGAGGAGCUUGCUCCUCUGACGUUAGCGGCGGACGGGUGAGUAACACGUGGAUAACCUACCUAUAAGACUGGGAUAACUUCGGGAAACCGGAGCUAAUACCGGAUAAUAUAUUGAACCGCAUGGUUCAAUAGUGAAAGACGGUUUUGCUGUCACUUAUAGAUGGAUCCGCGCCGCAUUAGCUAGUUGGUAAGGUAACGGCUUACCAAGGCAACGAUGCGUAGCCGACCUGAGAGGGUGAUCGGCCACACUGGAACUGAGACACGGGCCAGACUCCUACGGGAGGCAGCAGUAGGGAAUCUUCCGCAAUGGGCGAAAGCCUGACGGAGCAACGCCGCGUGAGUGAUGAAGGGCUUCGGAUCGUAAAACUCUGUUAUUAGGGAAGAACAAAUGUGUAAGUAACGAUGCACGUCUUGACGGUACCUAAUCAGAAAGCCACGGCUAACUACGU